Non-coding RNA from Tetranychus urticae (two-spotted spider mite), 6357 nucleotides. The record is from RefSeq and is a predicted model, not a curated record. Lineage: Eukaryota; Metazoa; Arthropoda; Arachnida; Trombidiformes; Tetranychidae.
GUAAAGGCCUGGUUAAGCCUUAAAGAUAUGAAUCUUGUCAAGCCAACAGUCUCUCUCCGUCCCUUCAACAGUCAACCUUUUUUCACCCGAUCAAUACUUUUCAUUAUCAUUUCACUUUCUUACAAUUGGUGUAAAAGGGUGAUUCAAAGUGGACUCAAGGUCAGAUUACCGUUACUUUUAUUGUCUCUUAAACAUCUUAAAAGGUAUUACAAAAGGUAAGAUUUUUACUCGUUUACAUCAUUUCCUUUAAUAUCAUUAUUUGAUUGAAGAAACGAUUUAAGGAUCAAAAAAGGUGGGCUGACUUUUCAUUCAUUAUUUUUACUUAUCAUUUAUUUCAUUUGAAUGCUGAAUUUGCUUUUGUUGUUAACAAUGAUUAUGUUUAAAUUUCAUUCCCUGAGUUUCCUUAUGUUGUGUAUUUGUGUAUCAAUGAAAAACAAUUUUUUUGUGCUUCUUUGCUUUACCUGUGCCUUUCAACUCUUUACUUUGUUAGUGAUUUCCGUUUUUUCUUGCUUUAACCCUUUCAAAUUGCUCGUCUUUUGUUAUUGUUAAUAAAUUAUGCUUGAUUAAGUUUACCUUGGUUGUUAAAGGUUAGCUUGACUGUCAUUUUUAAAGAUGAUAACCCUUUUUGGCUUCGCAUUCAAACAGAUAAUCUUAGGCUUUUUUUACCAGAUUGAAGGUUGAUUUGGUUAGCAAAAAGGGUUUUUAUAAUGGGCUUGGCUUUAAUUGUAAACUAUUAAGAUUUGAUGAUGAAAAAUUGAAAUGGAUUCUGUUACCUCCAUAUGGAUUGGAAGGGAUGAAAUAAACUCUCCUGAGGAGGCAAGAAUUGAAUAUUUCAAUAUUUCCGUUUCAACAAUUUUUCUUUUUCCAUUUCUUCCAAUGCUUUUAAGCUUUCUUUUGUGUCUAUACAAAGUGAAUUAAUUUGGAUAAAGGUUAAUUAUGUUGAUUAUGUUUGGUAAAAUUGUUUGGUAAUGUCAAUAUUGAUGGAAAAAAUUGUGUAAAAUAAUCAGUUUGAUUGAAAUUGCUUUUCUAGUUUGUUUGAUUUUUCAGUUUCAAUGUGAGCGCCUUUUUUCAGUCGGUUGCAUUUCAUUGGUUGGAUUAUGUUUACAAGCGGUAAACACUUGUUUCUCCUUUACUGUUGAUUUCAAGACAAUUUGCUAUUGUGAUUAACGCCACGAGUUUCAACUUGACUUUUUGUGAUUUUGUGAGUUUAAAUAAUUGUUAUGUGAUACCAAUCAAUUGAGUACCGGCUUUUCCUGAAUUGGGUAAUGAUUGACUCAGUGGAGCAAAGAUACAGAAUAAAGGAUCAAUAAGAAGACACGUGUAGCGGUUUUUACUUUAUAACUGGAUAAACGUGUCGAUAUCAGACAAAUUAAACAGCAAUUGGUAACCACAAAACAAUUGUGUCUAUAAAAGCUUCCACGUGGCUUCAGGGGCUCAAGGAAAUAAUCAAGAUGUCACCAAAUAGCCAUUAAGCCAAAGAAUCGCCAAAAAUGGCAAAAUGAAAGGGCGCCAAUCCUGUGAUAAAAAAAACAAAGCUUAAUCGAUCGUUAACAUUUUUAAAUUAUUGGAAAGAGGUCAAAUCUGAUUAUUGUAACAUAAUCACGGUUUGGCGCAAUCAUCAACUUAUUUACCAAUUUUUAUGGGAAACGUUUGGAUUAAUUCGCUCCACAAUUCAUGGGAUAGGUUAUGGUAUCAAGCUAAUCAUUAUUUAAUCAUUAGAAAUGCAAUCGGUUUCCUCAAUAAUUUUGUUUACCUAACUUUUUUGCUUGUGUUUUUUUUGUAUUGACCUUUUACCUGUGAUUCCUAUAAUUAUUGUUUGCUUUUUGAUAGAAACUAAAUUAUGAGUUUGUUUACUAAUCAGAACAGGAUUGGUUUCCUGGAACUGGAACGUAAAAUUCACGAAUUGGACUCGAAAAUUGAAACAAGGUAAAGAACAAAAAGACAUUAGUAGAAAAAAGGAAACCCAAAAUGACUAGAGUAACAAAGUGGAUCAACAAUAACUGGAAAAUCAUCUUAUUUAACCAUAAUCAAAAUUAUUGUCAAUCAACUUUCUAUCAACAGUUAAAGGAUAAAGCAAAAGGGAUCGGUUGACAUUGGAUGACUCUGAUCAACAUGUUAAACUGAUUGAGAAUCAUGUUGAGAGUCAAAGCUGAUUUCGUCUCUUUUCAAAUUGGUUCACAAGAAAGAAAGGAAAUGUCACUGGAAAACAUUUUUUUCUAUCCCUUGGAUGUCAACUAGAUGAAGAUGGAGAAGAUGAUGACGACGAAGAUGCCGAUGACGAUGAUGAAAAGGAAAGUUAUAAAAAGGUAAUAAAAAGCAGAACAUAAGAAGCGAAAAGAAAUUCAAACUCAAGAAGUUGAAAUCAAAUGGAAAGUUAAUAUGCAAAAAAACAUUGAUGAUGAUAAGGAAAAAAAAGAUGAAAAGGAAGUCAACCUUUUGUUGUACACAUCUUUGGUAUCUUCUUCUUGUCAUCAUCAUUUAGAUUGGUAAAGAUAAAUCCAUGACGGCGAAACAAUUUGAAUAACUCAUAGAUUUGAAUGUAAACCACAAUUGUACAAUACUGUAUUGAGAUUAACUUGAGCGCUUUUUUUAUUGAAGCUUGUGAAGCUCACAAGGAUCGUUAAGCCAACCAAGUUGAAUAUAUCCAAGUCUCUGUUAGACCUUUGGAAAAAUUCAGUAAUGAAUUAAUCCAGCAAUUUAUGAUUCAAACUACUAUAUAUUUAACACAUUUGGUUGUUGAUUUGUUUUCAAUGCAUUAAUGAAUUGAUUUGGUCAAUGGUAUAAAAAAUUUCAAUGCCAACUACUGAGUCUAAAUGGUUAAUGGUUUAAGUGUAACAUUAAGAAAUCUAUUGAUAAAGGAAAAGUCUAAUGUAAUUUCAUUAUAUUGCACUGAUUUAGUCAAUGAAUUGACAAAAAACUGAUUGACUAAGAAGAUAACGGUUCAUUUUUAAGCUUUGUAUAUUUCCAUUUUUUCAAUGGUCAGUUGAUUGAAGUGAUGAAAAGGUAAAGAUAUCUUAAAAUGUCUGAUGAAAAGAGAUUUCUUUUUCUUCCAAUAAAAGCAUAUAAAUGGACCAUCAUCUACAUCAUCAAGAUCACAGUGAUUCCAAUAAUAAUCUUCAUCAUCGUCAUAACCAUCAAGGCACCAACAUGAUGAGGAAUUUUGAACAAAGCAGGUUCCAUUAAAGGCCGUUAAUGGGAAAUGGUGCUUUUAUGCUUUCAAAGAUGAAUACAAAAGAUGAUACCGAGAAGAAAGAAGGAGAAGACAAAAUUAAUGACAAUUCACAAUAGAGUCUGCAAAAUAAUGAUAAUACAAGACAAGACAUUCAACAUACUUCAGAAUUGGCAUCAUCUUAAAUGUUGUCAUAUUAGGAUUUAUCCUUUGGACCCAUCUUUAAACUCAUCCCUUUCAUUGGGUUGAUUCAUCUGUAAAAUGAGACAAAAUUGUUACAAUAUCGAAAGCUAGAAAUGUUACCAUUUUGUAAUUGAUCAAAAGGAAUGAUGAGCAAGAAUUGUAAAGGGUAAAGUAUCUUUUACUUAGAACUUACCUCUUUCUUGUUAGGAUUAACUGGACAAGACAUUGUUAUUAGGUAGGAGUGAGUUAAAUACAGACCAAAGGUUUUACCAAACGCCAACCAAUAGAUGGUCAAUAGCCUAAAGGUACAAUCCUGUUAACAACAGAUUAAUGAGUUGAGUUGAAUUCAGAUUAACUUGAAAGAUUAAACGUUAUAAAGCAACAUAUCAUUAUAAAUGAGAAUACAGAACAAUUUGUUUUUUUUGUACUCUUCUGGACUACACCAAACAGAGUGAUUAAAUCACUUAAAGGAGCUAUCAAUGACACCAAUGGGCUUAAAAAUUGUCUCUUUAAGUGACAAAAAUGACAAUCAGAGCAUCGCUAUUGCCACCAAAUAUUGAUAGAUAAUACUUACCAGACUGUCCUUUUGAACAGUCUAAUCAACCAUAAAUUACACCAGAAUCAACUUGUCCAUCAAACAUAAUCUUUAACUAAAGAAGAAAAAAUUAUUGAAAAUUUUUAAAACUCUUUCAACCCAAUCUGGUGUCAAAAAUGUUUAAUUAUCAAGUUACUUGUACUGCCGCCACUUUUAAAUAUCUAUUAUUUCCAUAUUUAAAUUGAAGUGAAAGGGAUGUUAAUGUUAAAUGAUUUUACUCUGUAUUAAAUCAAUUGAAUAGCAACAAGUUGAACAAUUUGGGACAUUGAAUGUUACAAUUUGAAUCGAUCGGAAUUAAAUGUUUGACACCAAUCCACACCUUUUUUCCCACUCUUAUUACCAUUCAGUUUAUGUUUAUCAGAACAUCUCUUGAUCAUUAUCACCAAAUUUAUAACUUGAUUCAUCUUUCUUUCUCCAUUUAAAUCAAUUUUUAAUACAAAUCACUUUCAAUAUAAUCUUACAUGUAAAUGUAUUUUGGUCUAAUACAAUCUCAUUAUGAACAAUCAUUGACACGAAAAACACUUUUCAUUGAAAUACGCUUUUGCUUUCCAUUUUUCACUCUUCUCAAGUCAAUCUUAAGACUUCCGACCUGAUUUUUACCUGGCUUUCAUCUUUUAACAUUUCUAUUUUCAAUAAUAAUGUUUAACGCCAUUUCUAUUAACUGGUAUUGAUUAUAUUGUUGAUAAAUGAUGGUGUAAAGUAAAUGUAAAAAAACUAGUUACUAGGAAAAAUCUGUCCUUCCAAGAAUCAAGGGAAACGAUGCAACAACUCUUCAUCCGAGGGAUAAAGCUAACCAACAAACCAGGAUUUUUGCCGAUUAAACCUUCAUCUUACAUCGGUGCACAGAGACGCGUAAUUUCAAGUGUUUUAAAAUUUUGAAUGUUGAAACAUUUCUUUUGUUGGACCAUUGAGCAUGUUAGCGACGUCGGACUGAAUAUGCUAUUGAUCUUGCUUCCAGUUCUUACUAAACUUUCAAUCUUCCACCCUGUUUAUGAUUAUUUUGAGCAAUCAACUUGCAAUAGAUAACUGUAUCUACAUUGAUGUUAGUGGGAAAAUAUCGAGAGAAGCAUAAAAAUCAACAAUUCUUGGAAAUGAGUUAGCUUUGCAUCCAGACAGAUUAUUAAGCUCUCUUAAUUAACUAUGAAGAUUUAUUUGAAUCCUCUCUGAUUACAGCAACCUGAUAGUAUUUUGGAGUCCACUUUUUUGCGCUACUGAAGGAGAUAGUAUCGAUCUAUUUUUUAUUUUGGUAUAACAAUAUUGUGAUCAGAUUAAAAUGGCAUUCAAGAAUGGCGAAUAAAUCAGUUUUGACUUUAUAACAAUCCAUUGGUAACUCAAUAUAAUAAUAAUGAAUCUGUUGUUUGCUAUUUGAGGGCAACAUAAACACAAAAUAUUCAACAUUAAAUUGGUUUCAGCAUUAAAUUUACUGAAUGUCAAGAAACCUAAGCGAUUCAACCUUUUCCCCAAACUCAACAGAUAGUAAUUUAUUAUAAAGGUGGUGAAAAGGUCGCUUAUGCAAAAUAAAUUUCAGAUGAAAGAAGGCAAACAAAAAAUAAGCUCAAGUAAAAUGAAAACGGGAAACAAGGUAAAUUGACAAUGACUGGUGAAUCCUGUUGGUCCAAGAAAGCAGAAGAUGAAGACGAGCUGAUUGUUUGGACGAAUAACAUUAACAAUGCAAAGUCACCAGGAAAAAGAAAGAUGAAUAUUAUAUUUUAUCUCUUCCUAUGGAUUUUCAUUACAAUAAAAAGCUAAAUGAAAGGUAUGAUGGAUCAUCGAAGCUGGUGUUGCUAAUAAUGAUCAUCUUCACUGUAAGGGACCAUUUUCCCGGUGAUAAUUUGAUAAUGGUAACCUGCGAAAGUAAACUAACUUAUCAAUGGAAGCUUGGUCAACUUGGUCCAGAUAACCGGUUUUAGUUUGGUCCAACGUUUUCAAUUCAUUUCAUUUUGAGAAUUAAUCUUUCCCCAGACAUUAAAAUAAGGAAUCAAUGAAAAAGAGAAAAAUACGAAUCGAGCUCCAUAGUUACACUAAAAUACGAUGUCUAGCCAAGCCCAGGUCACCCAAUGUUGGAAGUAAAGGCCGUACAUGAAGGAGUGUGUCCAACUACCGCUCCUAAUGAAUACAAUGGCAAUGAUACUCGAAAACUUGAACAGAAUGUGAAGAAAAAAGAUCGCUUUUAUCCAUCAUUUAAAUGACAAAGUUUUACUGAUGAAUGUUGCUGAAUUAUGACAAUGCCAUAAAAAUGAAAUAGUUUGAGUAAUUGCCGGUUUCUUUUUUUAUACACAAGUUAAAUGGAAAAAGAUAAUUAUGUAUUUAUCAUGAAUUCAUGUAUUAAAAUCUUCUAGGAGAUGUUUUUCAGAAGUUUUACAAUCAAAUAAAAUUGGUCUAAACAUUGAGAUUGAAAACAAAGCUCAUC